RNAcentral lists this ribosomal RNA (491 nucleotides) under uncultured bacterium. Its description in RNAcentral is "partial 16S ribosomal RNA". It matches the Rfam family "Bacterial small subunit ribosomal RNA", at positions 29 to 506 of the family's 1533-position model. The record is from RNAcentral.
AGUGAACGCUGGCGGUAGGCCUAACACAUGCAAGUCGAACGGCAGCACAGUAAGAGCUUGCUCUUACGGGUGGCGAGUGGCGGACGGGUGAGGAAUACAUCGGAAUCUACUUUUUCGUGGGGGAUAACGUAGGGAAACUUACGCUAAUACCGCAUACGACCUACGGGUGAAAGCAGGGGAUCUUCGGACCUUGCGCGAUUGAAUGAGCCGAUGUCGGAUUAGCUAGUUGGCGGGGUAAAGGCCCACCAAGGCGACGAUCCGUAGCUGGUCUGAGAGGAUGAUCAGCCACACUGGAACUGAGACACGGUCCAGACUCCUACGGGAGGCAGCAGUGGGGAAUAUUGGACAAUGGGCGCAAGCCUGAUCCAGCCAUACCGCGUGGGUGAAGAAGGCCUUCGGGUUGUAAAGCCCUUUUGUUGGGAAAGAAAAGCAGCAGGUUAAUACCCCGCUGUUCGGACGGUACCCAAAGAAUAAGCACCGGCGAACUUCGG